This 881-nucleotide ribosomal RNA is filed under the name Saprolegnia glomerata. RNAcentral's name for it is "partial large subunit ribosomal RNA". Lineage: Eukaryota; Oomycota; Saprolegniomycetes; Saprolegniales; Saprolegniaceae. The record is from RNAcentral.
GGUGAUACUCCAGUCUCUGCUCCAAUUUGCGGUGUGUACKAUACRCUUUCUUUGAGUCGAGUUGUUUGGGAAUACAGCUCAAAGUAGGUGGUAAAUUCCAUCUAAAGCUAAAUAUUGGUGCGAGACCGAUAGCGAACAAGUACCGUGAGGGAAAGAUGAAAAGAACUUUGAAAAGAGAGUUAAAGAGUACCUGAAACUGUUGAAAGGGAACCGUAUCGUUUCCAGUGUUUUAUCCUAUGCAUAUUUCAUUCGUGGAGCAAUUUGCGGGUGCCCUGUGCAUGGGUGUGACGUCAGGGUCAGUUUGUAUGCUGCGGGAGAUGGUCAGUGAGGAGGUGCGUCACUUCGGUGAAAGUUAUAUCUCGCUGUCUAGUAGCCGUGGUUGAGACUGAGGUGCCUACAACAUGCCUUAAAGUUCCGUGUUGUCUCGUGUUGGUGACUGCUUUGAUAGCUUGCUAUGUCUGUGGUUUAUCAAUGCGAUUGAUGAUGCGGAUAACUUUUGCUGUUCGGGACUCUGGCGAAAUGGAGCGAUACGACCCGUCUUGAAACACGGACCAAGGAGUCUAACAUGUGUGCAAGUAUUAGGGCGUGGAAACCCAAAUGCGUAAUGAAAGUAAAUGCUGCUUAUGCAGCUGUGGUAGGAAAGGGCUGUCAAGGUCCUGGCACUAUCGACCGAUCAUGAGCCCACGGGCAAAAGAUUUGAGUAUGAGCAUAUAUGUUGGUACCCGAAAGAUGGUGAACUAUGCCUGAAUAGGGUGAAGCCAGGGGAAACUCUGGUGGAAGCUCGUAGCGAUUCUGACGUGCAAAUCGAUCGUCAAAUUUGGGUAUAGGGGCGAAAGACUAAUCGAACCAUCUAGUAGCUGGUUCCCUCCGAAAUUUCCCUC